Schistosoma mattheei is the source of this 45-nucleotide non-coding RNA. NCBI's taxonomy places the organism in Eukaryota, Metazoa, Platyhelminthes, Trematoda, Strigeidida, Schistosomatidae. The record is from Rfam.
AUCCAGCUGACGAGUCCCAAGUAGGACUAAACGCGCCUCCUUGAU